UCCCAGUUCGGAUUGUAGUCUGCAACCCGACUACAUGAAGCUGGAAUCGCUAGUAAUCGCGGAUCAGAAUGCCGCGGUGAAUACGUUCCCGGGUCUUGUACACACCGCCCGUCACACCAUGGGAGUCGGAAAUGCCCGAAGUCUGUGACCCAACCAUUAAGGAGGGAGCAGCCGAAGGCAGGUCGGAUGACUGGGGUGAAGUCGUAACAAGGUACC
Molecule: ribosomal RNA, 216 nt
Filed under: uncultured bacterium
Lineage: Bacteria
Description: partial 16S ribosomal RNA
Rfam family: Bacterial small subunit ribosomal RNA
Source: RNAcentral